This 468-nucleotide ribosomal RNA is filed under the name uncultured bacterium. RNAcentral describes it as "partial 16S ribosomal RNA". It matches the Rfam family "Bacterial small subunit ribosomal RNA", at positions 28 to 507 of the family's 1533-position model. The record is from RNAcentral.
GACGAACGCUGGCGGCGGGCUUAACACAUGCAAGUCGAACGGAAAGGCCCUGCUUUUGUGGGGUGCUCGAGUGGCGAACGGGUGAGUAACACGUGAGUAACCUGCCCUAGACUUUGGGAUAACUUCAGGAAACUGGGGCUAAUACCGUAUAGGAGAUGCUGCUGCAGGGUGGGGGGUGGAAAGUUUCGGCGGUUGGGGAUGGACGCGCGGCUUAUCAGCUUGUUGGUGGGGUAGUGGCUUACCAAGGCUUUGACGGGUAGCCGGCCUGAGAGGGUGACCGGCCACAUUGGGACUGAGAUACGGCCCAGACUCCUACGGGAGGCAGCAGUGGGGAAUAUUGCACAAUGGGCGGAAGCCUGAUGCAGAAACGCCGCGUGCGGGAUGACGGCCUUCGGGUUGUAAACCGCUUUCGCCUGUGACGAAGCGUGAGUGACGGUAAUGGGUAAAGAAGCACCGGCUAACUACGUG